RNAcentral lists this ribosomal RNA (433 nucleotides) under uncultured bacterium. RNAcentral's name for it is "partial 16S ribosomal RNA". It matches the Rfam family "Bacterial small subunit ribosomal RNA", at positions 29 to 507 of the family's 1533-position model. The record is from RNAcentral.
AACGAACGCUGGCGGCAUGCCUAACACAUGCAAGUCGAACGACACCACCGGGACUAGUUGCGCACGGGGGCGUAACGCGUCGGAACCUUCACUUAUGUUUGGAAUAACUCCCCGACAGGGGUGAUAACACCGGAUAAUGUCUUCGAACCCAAGAUAUAUCGCCUUUGGCUGGGCACGCGUUGGAUUAGCUUUUUGGGAGGGUAAAAGCCCAACAAGGCGACGAUCCAUAGCUGGUCUGAGAGGAUGAUCAGCGACACUGGGACUGAGACACGGCCCAGACUCCUACGGGAGGCAGCAGUGGGGAAUAUUGGACAAUGGGGGAAAGCCUGAUCCAGCAAUGCCGCGAGAGUGAUGAAGGCCUUAGGGUUGUAAAGCUCUUUUACCCGGGAUGAUAAUGACAGUACCGGGAGAAUAAGCCCCGGCUAACUACGUG